GUUUGGUACAUACAGAGGUACAGGACUGAUACUUGGCUUGAAACUAAAGGGACUAAUUCAUUUAUGACUUAUUGGAUAUUUACAUUGCACCCACAGACUCGCAGGUUCCUGCUCCUAAGGAGUCAGUGGCCUAGGAGAGGACAAAAGAUUGGUUCAAAUGGCAAAAGGAUCAUUGUUUCUCACAUUUCCCUUCCCCAAAUUGAGAAAUAGUUUUCUUAGCUUGUUUUCAGGCAAUCAUGGCAGAAGGAAAACAACAUGCUUUAUGUGUGGGCGUCAUGAAGAUGUCUGCAGAAGAUAUUGAGAAAGUCAACAAAGGAAUUGGCAUUGAAAAUAUCCAUUAUCUAAAUGAUGGGCUGUGGCAUAUGAAGACAUAUAAAUGAGCUUCCAAAGGAAUGUGCUUGGGCUAACUAUAGAUACUGUGCUGUAUCUGUCUCUGUGUCUGUAUGACAGCAUGAAGACAAUGCCUCUAUGGUUAUGCUGAAUAAAAAUUCUGUGAAUGCUAAAA
Molecule: long non-coding RNA, 505 nt
Filed under: Rattus norvegicus (Norway rat)
Lineage: Eukaryota; Metazoa; Chordata; Mammalia; Rodentia; Muridae
Description: long non-coding RNA NONRATT030784
Source: RNAcentral